RNAcentral lists this ribosomal RNA (494 nucleotides) under uncultured bacterium. Its description in RNAcentral is "partial 16S ribosomal RNA". It matches the Rfam family "Bacterial small subunit ribosomal RNA", at positions 28 to 506 of the family's 1533-position model. The record is from RNAcentral.
GACGAACGCUGGCGGCGUGCCUAAUACAUGCAAGUAGAACGCUGAAGGAGGAGCUUGCUUCUCUGGAUGAGUUGCGAACGGGUGAGUAACGCGUAGGUAACCUGCCUGGUAGCGGGGGAUAACUAUUGGAAACGAUAGCUAAUACCGCAUAAGAGUAGAUGUUGCAUGACAUUUGCUUAAAAGGUGCAAUUGCAUCACUACCAGAUGGACCUGCGUUGUAUUAGCUAGUUGGUGGGGUAACGGCUCACCAAGGCGACGAUGCAUAGCCGACCUGAGAGGGGGAUCGGCCACACUGGGACUGAGACACGGCCCAGACUCCUACGGGAGGCAGCAGUAGGGAAUCUUCGGCAAUGGACGGAAGUCUGACCGAGCAACGCCGCGUGAGUGAAGAAGGUUUUCGGAUCGUAAAGCUCUGUUGUAAGUGAAGAACGAGUGUGAGAGUGGAAAGUUCACACUGUGCCGGUAUCUUACCAGAAAGGGCCGGCUAACUACGU